CACGUAGGGGGCGAGCGUUGUCCGGAUUUAUUGGGCGUAAAGAGCUCGUAGGCGGCUCAGUAAGUCGGGUGUGAAAACUCCAGGCUCAACCUGGAGACGCCACCCGAUACUGCUGUGGCUAGAGUCCGGUAGGGGAGCAUGGAAUUCCUGGUGUAGCGGUGAAAUGCGCAGAUAUCAGGAGGAACACCGGUGGCGAAGGCGGGUCUCUGGGCCGUAACUGACGCCGAGGAGCGAAAGCGUGGGGAGCGAACAGG
RNAcentral lists this ribosomal RNA (254 nucleotides) under uncultured bacterium. Its description in RNAcentral is "partial 16S ribosomal RNA". It matches the Rfam family "Bacterial small subunit ribosomal RNA", at positions 524 to 776 of the family's 1533-position model. The record is from RNAcentral.